Lutra lutra (Eurasian river otter) is the source of this 1799-nucleotide long non-coding RNA. RefSeq lists it as uncharacterized. Lineage: Eukaryota; Metazoa; Chordata; Mammalia; Carnivora; Mustelidae. The transcript has 3 exons. The record is from RefSeq and is a predicted model, not a curated record.
CUGCUGGAGCGAUGCCAGCAGGGAGGAGGGAGGGCCUGGGCAGAGCAGGGGUGGGAGCCCGAGGUGGCCUGCAGCUACACGGCGGGAUUAGUGACACCGGCCCCUCCCAGGGAGCGGGUUCAGACAGGAUGAGAGGGAGGCCGCCCGCGCCCAGGUCACAGGGGCCACUGGCAGGCCCGGAGAGGGAGCCCCCCCAGCCUGGGCUCCCUGGGGCCUGCCCGCUCUGGCGUGGUUGUUGGGAAAACCUGUUGGAUGAUGCCCCGAAAGACUAGAUGAUUUGGCCAAGAAAAAGGACACAGCAGAACUGGCAGAGCUGGGAUGUGACCCCGAGCUGACUGGCCCCAGCUCCUCUUGACUGCGAUGCAAACUUCCUGGAGCCUGCCCUCAGAGCACUUAGGUCAUCUUGGAAUAGCACUUGUGUCGAUGGGAUUGCCUGUGAGUGCCCACUCCAGGGUCGGAUUCUGAGCUAGCUGCCUUGGUGUUUGCUCACCACCACGUACCCAGCACCUAGCUCUGCCCUGACCAGAAACUUCGGGACAGCACCCGUGUGAGAGGUUUCCAGGAGGCUCAGAUGAGAUAAAGAACUUGAAGUAACAGGUGGUUCCCUGUGAAAUCACCCGCCCUGCUCUGAGCUCACCACAGGCACUUGGGAAAUGUUUAUGCCUGGGCCAGACUCACUGGGAACACUUGAAUGUGAAGCUCCCCAAAGAACCUACUAUUUAUUUAUUUGAGAGAGAGAGAGAGAGAGAGAGAGAGCGCAACCAUGGGGGAAGGGCAGAGGGAAAGAAGCAGACUCCCCGCUGAGCAGGGAGCCCAAAAUGGGGCUCAGUCCCAGGACCCUGGGAUUACGACCUGAGCCAAAAGUUAGAUGCUUAACUGAGUUAAGUUAGACUGAGCCACCCAGGUGCCCCAAAGUACCUACUUUUGAACCUUGGAUGCUGACUCAGACCAUCUUCCUGUUUUAGGGAGGAGCAUUUCCAUCCCUCUGUUCAGCAACCAAAAUCCUGUUUUCAGCUUCAGCUUCAGGCUUGACAAAGAACAUCCCUGAAAUGCCCCCAAGAAGGGGGAAGAAAAAGGCUGGGGGAUGGGGGAAGAAAAGACCUGGCUUCCAGGCCACAUGUUCUCCCCUCUCUUCUCUGGGUUUGUGGAGCCUGAAGGGGUGAGAGGAAUCUGGGGUCCUCAGAAUGACACUCUCCCCAACCUUCCUUCGUUCGUUUAGCCAGCUGCAGAAGAAUGAUGCAUGUGUGCCUCUGUUCAAGGAGAUGCUGAACAAUCCAUUUCUAACUGAUGAAUCAAUCCCAUGCUGUGGUAUCUUCAUUACCUGUUUGUAAAGUUCUCCAGGACCAGGCUGGCUAUCUAAGAGAGAAAGUUAUCCUACUUCGGGGCAAGAGACUUCUUGGCGUUUGUGGCUGAGGUCUUUAUUUUUCAAGGAGGUGUCCUCAUUUGCUGAAGACAAUUUCUUGGCUCAAAUGAACCAGCUCAACAGUCACCUGCGUUCGCUGACAGACUGUUGCUUCCUAAUAUUGCCACACCUGGGGUGUGUGUGGGGGCCCUUGGUGGGUGACGUGAAUAUCUAUAUCCAUUUAGGGCCAGGUGGUGACAGCUUCAGCUGUAGUCCCCACAGGUGGCUUGGCUCUUAAUCAAACUCCUUUUGAUUUACAUGAGAAGUCUUCUUCAGGAAUUUCUUCUGCUGCUCAAAAUUGUGCGUCCCAUUGUCAUGGACAGCGUGAGUUUCAGAAAAUCUGGGGCUCAAAUGAGAAAGGGAGGUUGUGACCCUGUCAAUAAAAUUGGUAUGCAAA